Long non-coding RNA from Corticium candelabrum, 1587 nucleotides. RefSeq lists it as uncharacterized. The record is from RefSeq and is a predicted model, not a curated record. NCBI's taxonomy places the organism in Eukaryota, Metazoa, Porifera, Homoscleromorpha, Homosclerophorida, Plakinidae. The transcript has 5 exons.
UGAAUUUAUCUAUUACCACAUAUAAUUCUAACAAUUGCAACGGUCUAACUAAAUCUAAAACUCAACAAAUUUAGUAACUAUACUGAAACUCGUUCAAACUCUGUUAGGCUACUCUAGAUUAACUGCCAUUCAUACACGCAGUACACAGCAACUAGAAACAAAGAUGCCUGGUUUGCUUUUCUUCACAUGCGCGCGUACGUGCCUCCAUCACCUCUGGACUUGAAUCUUGAGCUUCCGUCCUUGCGGAUGGCUCUCUUGUCACUGCAGACCUGCUUAAGCCAGACGACGUCGUGUGCUGCUGGCCAAGUACCUCGGGUAUAGCUAUAUAGCUCAUGCAGACUCGGUUGACUCUGUGCCGUCAUGAUCGCACCGUCACCGUGAACGAGGCUGCUACCUUAGACGCAUGAGAAGACUGGCAGAAACGACAGCGAAGCUUCUCCCAGUGCCAAAUAUGCCACCGCUGUACAAGACCUCCGGCAAACAUCACAAGCUGCUGUCGGCAGUGGCUUGCAAUUGGGUGUCAGCAGUGCGUAGAGCGGGCGAAUUUUUUUUUUGGGCCCCGUUGGGUGUGGCUUUGGCUGUUCCCGUAUGCACUUCCUCGCGGUUUUCAGUGGUCUGGUAGUACGAGGCUCGGCAGUCAAUGGACAUCUUGCAACCGCGAUUUUGACAUAAACGAACUGCUGUCUUUUUGCGCACCUUUCGAGCAGUAACCUGCGCCGUUUAUUGAAAGGGGGCCUCAGUUUUUGUCGUCUGCUGAACGUGGUUUUCUCGGCACAAAUCAACUUCAAUAAAUUAGGCGACAGUGUAUAUAUUGAGUAACUGGUAUUUCAUUGGGGUGGACAAGGUCUGUGACUGUUGUUGUCGACAAGAACUGUCUGGCUUGCUGCAUUCUGGGUGUUCUGACCAUCUCUAAUGGCCAUGUGAAAAAUGUGAGAGCGUUACCUGGGCCAUCAAGCUACACCUGGUACUGAAAUAAUCCAGGUAGCCAAGCAUGGUGUUUAAUUGUCCUUUUGUUGGCUAUGUCACAUUACUGGUUGAUGACACUUGAAAGACACCAUGUAUUUGAGACAAUAGCAAAAUCAACAUGGUCCUUAAUACUUCUAAAAUGAUCUGUUGCCAGCCAGCUGAAAGUUGUUUGGCUGAAAUUCUUUGUCAACAUUAUUAAUUAACAAUGAGUUGAUGUCUGCUACUUGUUAUGAGUUCAUUUGAAGCCAUGCUCUAACUAGAAGAAGGAGUCAUGAUCAGUGAAACCUGCGCUACUACAGAGAUGAGAGUGAUGAAAGUAGUCUUAGUUGCUAGUUGUACCAAGACGACAGUUGUGACUUCAGAUGUGACUUUAGAUAACUAUACUUUGACAGAGUAUUACAUUGCCUUUAGCAAUAAAAUGUUUGUCACUGCUUAUCUUGCAUAUGCAUUGGAUGUCCACAAAUAAUCAUGAGUCAUCUGACUCUUGUUAGAACUAUAAUUAUAAUAACGUCCAAACAUUGUGGUCAGAUCUAUAAUUUGUGACUUGUAAUAGGCAACUUCCAUUGUGUAUGUGCAACAGCAGCAGUCGCUAUUUCUUUUCUCACAGGAUGCAGAUCAGCA